CCCAUAGCUCAGUGGAUUUAGAGCAGGCGACUCAUAAUCGCUUGGUCGCUGGUUCCAGAAUCCAGCUUGGGGGG
RNAcentral lists this transfer RNA (74 nucleotides) under Salmonella enterica subsp. enterica. Its description in RNAcentral is "tRNA-Ile". It matches the Rfam family "tRNA". From Rfam's summary of the family: Transfer RNA (tRNA) molecules are approximately 80 nucleotides in length. Their secondary structure includes four short double-helical elements and three loops (D, anti-codon, and T loops). The record is from RNAcentral. Lineage: Bacteria; Pseudomonadati; Pseudomonadota; Gammaproteobacteria; Enterobacterales; Enterobacteriaceae.